CCCAAAGGUUCCCUCAGAAUGGUUGGAAACCAUUCGCAGAGUGCAAAGGCAGAAGGGAGCUUGACUGUGACACCGACGGGUGGAGCAGGUACGAAAGUAGGGCUUAGUGAUCCGGUGGUAUUAAGUGGGAAUGCCAUCGCUCAACGGAUAAAAGCUACCCUGGGGAUAACAGGCUUAUCACUCCCAAGAGUUCACAUCGACGGAGUGGUUUGGCACCUCGAUGUCGGCUCAUCGCAUCCUGGGGCUGUAGUAGGUCCCAAGGGUUGGGCUGUUCGCCCAUUAAAGCGGUACGCGAGCUGGGUUCAGAACGUCGUGAGACAGUUCGGUCCCUAUCCGGCGUGGGCGUAGGAUAUUUGAGAGGAGCUGUCCUUAGUACGAGAGGACCGGGAUGGACUGACCUCUGGUGUAUCGGUUGUUCUACCAAGAGCAUGGCCGAGUAGCCAAGUCGGGAAGGGAUAAACGCUGAAGGCAUCUAAGCGUGAAGCCCCCCUCAAGAUGAGAUAUCCCAUAACGCAAGUUAGUAAGACCCCUUGAAGACGACGAGGUAGAUAGGGCAGAGGUGGAAGUGCAGUAAUGCAUGGAGCUGACUGUUACUAAUAGGUCGAGGGCUUAACCAAG
RNAcentral lists this ribosomal RNA (618 nucleotides) under Clostridiaceae bacterium OF09-1. Its description in RNAcentral is "partial 23S ribosomal RNA". It matches the Rfam family "Bacterial large subunit ribosomal RNA", at positions 2309 to 2925 of the family's 2925-position model. Lineage: Bacteria; Bacillati; Bacillota; Clostridia; Eubacteriales; Clostridiaceae. The record is from RNAcentral.